RNAcentral lists this long non-coding RNA (518 nucleotides) under Rattus norvegicus (Norway rat). Its description in RNAcentral is "long non-coding RNA NONRATT016990". The record is from RNAcentral. Lineage: Eukaryota; Metazoa; Chordata; Mammalia; Rodentia; Muridae.
CGGCCGCCGUGCUUUCGGGCCUGACCGUCCCCAGUGACUUGGCUUUUCUCACCCUCCUGCCUAGAGCCAGGAGGCCUGGGCGCGUACGUGGCCGGGAAGCCGGUGUGCUCCGCUUUUGGCCACGGAGAUCGUACUGAAUAGGUGUCCCUGUUUUUUGUUUGUUUGUUUGUUUUUUUAAACUGAUGUACCAGCUCGUGUUCUUGGAAAGCCAGAGCCAGAGCUGAAGGAAACCCGGGUUUACUCUUAGUUCUGUCUACUGCAGAGCAUGUAGCUUGAAGUACCUCUGCUAGAAAAUACAUUGCUCGAUUACAGUUAACACCGAAAUAACAUGGGUGGUGUGUGGAAAGCAAGGAAAUGAUGUCACUCACAUUCACUUGGUGUGGAAAUGUAAACUUCGCCAGAAGAACCAGCUGUAACAGAUGUGGUCGAGAGAAGACAACUGAGGCCAAGAUGAUGAAAGCUGGGGGAACAGAAAUAGGAAAGACACUGGCAGAGAAGAGCCGGGGCUUAUUUAGUGC